RNAcentral lists this ribosomal RNA (501 nucleotides) under uncultured bacterium. Its description in RNAcentral is "partial 16S ribosomal RNA". It matches the Rfam family "Bacterial small subunit ribosomal RNA", at positions 29 to 523 of the family's 1533-position model. The record is from RNAcentral.
AUUGAACGCUGGCGGCAUGCCUUACACAUGCAAGUCGAACGGCAGCACGGGUGCUUGCACCUGGUGGCGAGUGGCGAACGGGUGAGUAAUACAUCGGAACGUACCUUAUCGUGGGGGAUAACGCAGCGAAAGCUGUGCUAAUACCGCAUACGCCCUGAGGGGGAAAGCGGGGGAUCGAAAGACCUCGCGCGACUAGAGCGGCCGAUGCCUGAUUAGCUUGUUGGUGGGGUAAAAGCCCACCAAGGCGACGAUCAGUAGCUGGUCUGAGAGGAGGAUCGGCCACAAUGGGACUGAGACACGGCCCAGAGUCCUAGGGGAGGUAGCAGUGGGGAAUUUGGGACAAUGGGGGCAACCCUGAUCCAGAAAUGCCGCGUGAGUGAAGAAGGCCUUCGGGUUGUAAAGCUCUUUUGUCAGGGAAGAAACACCGGCUCUAACACAGUCCGGGAAUGACGGUACCUGAAGAAUAAGCACCGGCUAACUACGUGCCAGCCGCCGCCGUAA